Long non-coding RNA from Numida meleagris (helmeted guineafowl), 1696 nucleotides. RefSeq lists it as uncharacterized. The record is from RefSeq and is a predicted model, not a curated record. NCBI's taxonomy places the organism in Eukaryota, Metazoa, Chordata, Aves, Galliformes, Numididae. The transcript has 3 exons.
CGCACUGAAUCCCAGUGCAUGUCACGGCGGAAGGGGCUGAAGAGCGGCCGCUGCAAGAAGGAGCCCCGGGGGACAGCGCUGUCACCACCGCCACCUGGACACGGAGCUGCAAAGAGCUCAGGGCUGGGAGACGCAUGGAGCUGGGAGAGAAGGGAUCGACGCUGUUCGCUGUUCACAUCGCCUUUAAUAUCUGACAAAGAAAUGUUUCCAGUUUCUUCUGGGGACAGAUUUCAGGUUUGGGGUCUGAGAUUUCUGCUCAUACGGACAGGUUCCUGCUUAUGGUCACAGAACGUUGUCUGUGGGGACAGAUGCCUCUUGUUGGCAAGAAAUCCUGUUCUAGAGUGUUGGAAAUAUCCAAAUAAUUGAUCAGGACAGUAUCUCUGAUAAAAGCAGAUUUUAUUUGGAAUUGCAAUGGCGGGCGUCCUGCAAGCAGGGGCGCACCUAUGGACACAGUAUGACAGCUUUUGUACCUUGUUUCCCCCAUGCCUACCCCCUCCCCUCUUUCCCCACUGGCUGCGUACUCCAGGUUCACCAUCAUAUCGAAGUCUUACAUUUGUUAAUUACAUUCUGACACUUGUUAAUUCAUGUGCUAUCUUGUGCCAGUCAGUCGCCAUCCUGCUGUUUCCAAGAUGUCUCGGUACUCUUCUUAUCGGGUCGAUAUGGUGAUUUUCUCCAAAGCUUCUUCCCUCGUGUCCGAAGGACGCUUCCUUUGUUACACGAAGAGCACCGUAGGGAGGUGGAGAGGUGCCAGGCCUUCCUCAAUACCUUCGUCAGGCCCUCCCUAAGGCAUGCCAUGACUUGUCCUUUUAAUUUGUGCAGGAUAUUCUUACAAUGUGUAUGACAAAGUGUAACAUAUCUUUUCAUGCUGGCUGUACAUAAAUUGUUGCUAGCUAGUUUUAAUAAAGGACCCAAAUGGCAGCAGAGGCCACGAAAUCAAGAAAAUUCUUCUCUCGUUCCAAUGCAGAAACAACAUUCGAUUCCCACAUAGAGGGGCGGCACAAUUCUACUUCUGGGCACAGAUUUCACUUUGCAAUCACAGGUUUCAUUUCGAGAGGGCAGAGCAGCGCUGCUGUGACUCCGACACCACCUAACCCACUGUGACUCAUCAUCCUGCCCGCUGUACCUCCAACAUCCUCUGACAUCUCGUGACUCUAUGAGAACACGCCUUCCGCUGCACCUCCAGCAUCACCCCGCCCUGACCCCGACACCGGCCCGUGCAGCCGCUCAGCUCACACACAGAACUCUCGCAUCCUCGUGGAGCGGCCCCGCUGCCUCCUGCUCCGAGCGCGGCCCGAGCACAACUGCAGCUCCCAGAACAGAACAGGCAGAUCUCAGCUCCAAGAUCCAAUACUUCCACACCAUGGCAAAAGGAAACCAACAACCAAAUUCUCCACAAGAGAAAGCAGUGCUGUUCUCCCCAGAAGACGAAAACCAACAAUCCAAACGGGGCUGUAAAUGGAAUGUGGACAGAAGGAAAAGCCACCGCCUGCUCUGUGUGGGUUUGUGUGCAGUGCCAUGGAUCCUUGUCACAGUGCUGCUGGUAGUCCUGAUAGGUGAGUGCCACCUGCAUCCCCACGGCGAUGAAACCUCUACUGUGGGUGUAGGACGGGGGACGAUGGGGUUCCCAGCGCCCUGAGCUGCUCCCCAAGCACAGCCCCGAUCCCAGCUCCUGGGGCGCCCACGCGCUGCCCUAAAC